AUUCAUUAAAGGGAGUGAAGCGUAUUGAUUAUGAGCUCGGCCUUCCAAAGAUGAGAGCAUUUCCCGGCCGCAUGUGCAGUGAAGAAUCAGGCUUGCAAUCAGUCAGGUCCCGACCAGUAACCAUCUGGUAAGGGGAAGUGUGGUGACAUCUUGCUUUUUUGGGAGGGAAGUGACAGCCCUGGAGUUUUUAGGGGCCAGCUGCCAUCGUCAGGCUAGGCUGCAGUGUCAGUGUUCCGGCGGCCCCGCUGAGUUUAUCACAACACCCCUCCCCUGGUGUGGUCAGGUGUCGUCAGUGGCUGCUGACUGUGACGGUGUACC
This 318-nucleotide long non-coding RNA is filed under the name Bos taurus (domestic cattle). RNAcentral describes it as "long non-coding RNA NONBTAT017907". Lineage: Eukaryota; Metazoa; Chordata; Mammalia; Artiodactyla; Bovidae. The record is from RNAcentral.